RNAcentral lists this ribosomal RNA (253 nucleotides) under uncultured bacterium. RNAcentral describes it as "partial 16S ribosomal RNA". It matches the Rfam family "Bacterial small subunit ribosomal RNA", at positions 524 to 776 of the family's 1533-position model. The record is from RNAcentral.
GACAGAGGGGGCAAGCGUUGCUCGGAAUUACUGGGCGUAAAGGGCGCGUAGGCGGGAUGGCAAGUCGGUCGUGAAAUCCUUCGGCUCAACCGAAGAACGUCGAUCGAAACUGCCGUUCUUGAGGAUUGCAGAGGAGACUGGAAUUCCCGGUGUAGCGGUGAAAUGUGUAGAGAUCGGGAGGAACACCGGUGGCGAAGGCGGGUCUCUGGGCAAUUCCUGACGCUGAGGCGCGAAAGCGUGGGGAGCAAACGGG